GACGAACGCUGGCGGCGUGCUUAACACAUGCAAGUCGAACGGAAAGGCCCUGCUUUUGUGGGGGGCUCGAGUGGCGAACGGGUGAGUAACACGUGAGUAACCUGCCCUUGACUUUGGGAUAACUUCAGGAAACUGGGGCUAAUACCGGAUAGGAGCUCCUGCUGCAGGGUGGGGGUUGGAAAGUUUCGGCGGUUGGGGAUGGACUCGCGGCUUAUCAGCUUGUUGGUGGGGUAGUGGCUUACCAAGGCUUUGACGGGUAGCCGGCCUGAGAGGGUGACCGGCCACAUUGGGACUGAGAUACGGCCCAGACUCCUACGGGAGGCAGCAGUGGGGAAUAUUGCACAAUGGGCGGAAGCCUGAUGCAGCAACGCCGCGUGCGGGAUGACGGCCUUCGGGUUGUAAACCGCUUUCGCCUGUGACGAAGCGUGAGUGACGGUAAUGGGUAAAGAAGCACCGGCUAACUACGUG
RNAcentral lists this ribosomal RNA (468 nucleotides) under uncultured bacterium. RNAcentral describes it as "partial 16S ribosomal RNA". It matches the Rfam family "Bacterial small subunit ribosomal RNA", at positions 28 to 507 of the family's 1533-position model. The record is from RNAcentral.